GUUUCUGUUUCUUUUCCAUUCCUUUUCUUCUGCUUCUCCUGUCUUCCCUUCCCGGUUUUGCUGAUCUUCAACGAAACCUUUUAGUACAGAACUAUUUCGCCCCGAGGAGCAAGCCCUCCGGGCGAACCUUAUUCCUGCCUCCGAAAGAGAGCUGAUUCUGGGGCAUUGCCUGUCCCCCGCCCCCCACCCCCGCUCAUUUAUUUGGGCCGGGCCACCCCACCAGUCGCCUUUCAAAACUAGCAGGAACGCAGCAGCCAAUUGGGCAGGGGGCGGGGGCUUUGUAGCUGAAACGGAAGGGGUGUUUGGGGACUUGGUGGCGCUUGGCUUCCGGGGGCACCGCAGACCUGGGCCUGGACGCGUGUCGCCAUACACCUUUGGCCUGCAAACUCAAGCUUGUCAUUUUACGAAGCUUCUCUCUGUUUCAACGUCGAUUCAGAAAGGAGAGAAAAUAUGCACGCAAUUUCUGUCUUAAACAAGUUUUGAAUUUUAGAUUUAAAAAUAUUAGGCUGAGGCUAUAAUUCACUGGGAAGUUACUUAUUGUGCAAAGAUGCAAGUUCGAUUCCCACGCACUCCAAAAUGAGAAGGAAAUACACGUGUAUUUAUUUAUAUAAAGCCUUGUCGAUUAUACACAUUUCUUACUGUCCUGGGGACUCUUCCACCCAACGAUACAGGUCACCUUGGCUCUCCCCAUUCUUCCCAGUGUCCCAGUCCAGUAAAAGAGUGAACUGUGUCCCCACAUGGAACACCAGCCACCAACCAGAAUAUUCUUAUGCUUGCUUUUCCUUCCCUCCUCUCCCUUCCGAUGCUUCGAUGCUUCCUUUUUUCCUUUCUUUUAAUCCCGCUUCUUCCCUUUCCUUCCGCCCCUUUAUUCUUAAUUUCCCAUAAACAAACAAAACCGCUCCAGACGUGAUCAGGUGGCCGUGGAAGAGCGAAGGUCUCCCCAAUUCCUGUAGUAGGUCCCCCUCUCACUUGGCCUCAGGCGGGAGCCACGCAAGGGACCCUGCCCGGUGCGCGCCCACUCCUGGGCGACCCCGGCCGGCGGCCGCUGACUCAACGCCGAGGUGGGCUCGCAGCUGCCCAAAAGGUCAUCGCGGUGGCACCCCUCUCCGUGCGCUGUUUACGUGACUUAAUGUACUUCUUACGCGGCGCUUGUUAUCUGGGCCACCCAAUGACCGACGAAAGAUCUUCCCUCCCCAUGUUUCCCAUCGCCGUUUUAAACCAAAUAAAUUUAGCUAUUAAGG
Molecule: long non-coding RNA, 1241 nt
Organism: Arvicola amphibius (Eurasian water vole)
Lineage: Eukaryota; Metazoa; Chordata; Mammalia; Rodentia; Cricetidae
Exons: 2
Source: RefSeq, a predicted model, not a curated record